UACGUAGGGUGCGAGCGUUGUCCGGAAUUAUUGGGCGUAAAGGGCUCGUAGGCGGUUUGUCGCGUCGGGAGUGAAAUCCACUGGCUUAACUGGUGGCUUGCUUUCGAUACGGGCAGACUGGAGGUAUGCAGGGGAGAACGGAAUUCCUGGUGUAGCGGUGAAAUGCGCAGAUAUCAGGAGGAACACCGGUGGCGAAGGCGGGUCUCGUGGGCCGAAACUGACGCUGAGGAGCGAAAGCGUGGGGAGCGAACAGG
RNAcentral lists this ribosomal RNA (254 nucleotides) under uncultured bacterium. Its description in RNAcentral is "partial 16S ribosomal RNA". It matches the Rfam family "Bacterial small subunit ribosomal RNA", at positions 524 to 776 of the family's 1533-position model. The record is from RNAcentral.